Delphinapterus leucas (beluga whale) is the source of this 3240-nucleotide non-coding RNA. The record is from RefSeq and is a predicted model, not a curated record. Lineage: Eukaryota; Metazoa; Chordata; Mammalia; Artiodactyla; Monodontidae.
CUUCAUGUUAUCAAAGUAUUUCCUGUGACAUUCAUGUAAGAGUGAACUCCUUUAGGGUGUGAAAGUGGGUUUUUAUAGAUCAUUAACAAAUUGACAGAUCUGGAAAUAGAAAAAUAGAAAACUGAUGUGUUAGGAAGCAAUGCCAAUUUAAGAUCGAUCAAAAGUGACAAAGUAUUCCUGAAAACUUUAGAUGAAUUAAGGAGAAAGUAACUCAAUUUAUAAGCCAUUUUGCAAGAACAUAUCAAUUAUAUACCCUUGUACAUUGUCUAUAAAUUCUUUUGGUCUGGCUCCUGCUCUCACAGCCAUUGCAGUACAUUGAGCUCCAUAGAGACAGCGCCGGGGCAAGUGAGAGCCGGACGGGCACUGAGCGACUCUGUGCCUCGCGGAGGAAAAAUAAUUAAGCAUGGGCAAAGGAGAUCCUAAGAAGCCAAGAGGCAAAAUGUCAUCGUAUGCAUUCUUUGUGCAAACUUGCCGGGAGGAGCACAAGAAGAAGCACCCAGAUGCUUCCGUCAACUUCUCAGAUUUUUCUAAGAAGUUCUCAGAGAGGUGGAAGACGAUGUCUGCUAAAGAGAAAGGAAAGUUUGAAGACAUGGCAAAGGCGAACAACGCCCGUUAUGAAAGAGAAAUGAAAACUUAUAUCCCUCCUAAAGGGGAAACAAAAAAGAAGUUCAAGAAUCCCAAUGCACCCAAGAGGCCUCCUUCGGCCUUUUUCUUGUUUUGUUCUGAGUAUCGUCCAAAAGUCAAAGGAGAACAUCCUGGCCUAUCCAUUGGUGAUGUUGCAAAGAAACUGGGAGAGAUGUGGAAUAACACUGCUGCAGGUGACAAGCAGCCUUAUGAGAAGAAGGCUGCUAAACUGAAGGAAAAGUACGAAAAGGAUAUUGCUGCAUACCGAGCUAAAGGGAAGCCUGACGCAGCAAAAAAGGGAGUCGUCAAGGCUGAAAGACAUUUUGCAAUCUGAUCUCUCCCUGCAUUUUUGGAUAUGUAAAUUGGCUGCCAGCUUAAUUUUUGGCACCUCCAUCUUAAAUGCACUGUCACUCUUCUCAGAAUGCCUUUUGUCAGACCUUGUCAUAUGAUGAACCCCUGUACAUUCUCUGUGAUACAGUUCCAUUGUCAUACAUGGUGAAGUUUUUCCUGAUUCUUCUAAAACUCACAACUUUGUCAUAAACAAUCGCAAUAAUAAUUGUCUUCAUCUUCCUCACCUCAUCAUCGUUGAGAUUUCAUCUUCUACCUUUGGCAACUGCCUUUCAUGUCACCAUAGUGAGGUCUUUUUUGUGCUUCUAACAUUGGGAGAGAGUCACUCUAUUUGGUUCCCACAUUUACUGUGAAAAGUUGGUGGGAAUGCUCCCCCCACUUGUGUUGCAUUCUCUUCCAAUUUAUGCAUUGAUUACAAGCAGAAUUUACCUCUUAUCCCUUCAGUAAUAAGGCCUUAUCCCAUGACUUACCGUUCCUCACAGACCUUCUCCUCUUGUGAACCAGCUUAAGCUCUCUGGGACUGGAAUAUGUACCAAUCUGAGUGACUGGCACUGUGCCCUUCUUAAAAGUAUUUCUUUUCCCCACAUGUUUAACCAUUGUCCAGAGUCAAAACUUGUACAAUGUAUCUCCCUUUUUCAAGGUAUAUAGCCUAAGGCAUUAAAGAGAGGCCCUUAUCCUUGAUAGUUUAACAGUUUAGGAGUCUUAGUUCUGCAGGUUCAUUCUUGUGUCCACUUAUUAGCACCUUACAUGGAUCCCUGGGCUCCUCACUCCACCACUAUAUCUUCACGGGCUGCGAAGACCCAACUUAGGUCUUCCUUCUGCAACUUUGUUGUAUUAAAGAAAAAUUUCACCCAACCAGCUAAACCAGCAAAGAAGACUUUAUACAAGACAACUGCAAUAGGGGAGAGAGAUUAUUGUAAUAGGAGAAAGAUUAUUGUAUUAGUUGAGCUUGAAUUCAACUCCACUGAAAUAAAAGGCAGGAGUGUUUUUAAGUGCUGAGUUGAGCUAGUGGAAAAGUACUGGAAGACACUAGUGGGGAGAUUGGUCAAUGUGAUUAGGCCAUCUGUAUCUGCUAAUCAGUGCUUACGGAAGUUAGGCUCCUACCUUCACACCGAGACUGGAAAUAAGGAUGCUAUCUUUCUUGAUGGUUACAUUUCAAAGGGAUAGUUCCCUUGUCCUGGAGAAAGAAAGACAUUCCUGGGUUAUAGAAGAUUUAUAUCUCAAAGGGGCAGAGGAAAAAAUUAUAAAUGACAGUUUUCUAAAGUAAAUUCUCUAAGGAAAGGGAGGUCAGGAGACUAUAGUCAGGAAGAAACCUGUCUAAAGUUUAGUCAAACAGUUUGAAGUCCAUCUUGGUCAUAUGGAUAAGCAUAAUCUAAAAGGUAAAUAAUGACCCACUUAACUUGCUUUCAUGUGGCUUUUCAUAUUCCAUCAAUAACAGUGAAAUGGGUUGUGCAGUAGGGCAGGUACCAUUGUUAAUACAAUUUAUAUAUAUUUAGCCUAAUAAUAUGCUACAAUUGUGAAUAAUUUCCCUCUUACGUUAUAUCCUUUUGAGGAGAAAUGAAAAAACACUUCAAAAUAAAUGCUUUGUAAUUAUCACUCUUUUCUUCCUUCUGACUCUAUUUAUUAUAAGGUGAAUGCAUUUAUCACACAGGCAAAUAUUUUUGGUUUGAUUGAUUUGUAUUAUUGCUUUCUCUUUCCUGUGGAAGUACCCAUUAGGGUAAGUUUUUUUUGCAGCAUAGAAAAUAGUAAUUUAGCACCCUAGCCGGGUUGUUCCUAGAAUAAAUGAAUCAUACUAAACCAGAAGGCAUAUAAGUUAAAAAGAAAGGGUAGCAGUCAGUAAGGCAACACAAAGAGAUCAUAGUUCACCGUCACCAUCUUUCUAGAAGGUACACUUUCAAGAAUGAUUCUUGACUACAUCAGAUGAUUUUUCUUUUUCGCUUGGUGGAAACGGUGUUUGACUUAGUUUCCCGUGCCUGUUAUGUGAAAUCAAUUUCAUAAAUACAGUUAGUGAUCUCAAGGCAAUACUGAUUUUUAAAUUAUAUUACAUAUAUCAUAAUUAUCAUUGUGACCUGACAUUUUAUAUAAAGUUUGCGUGAAUUGGGGAAGAUAAAGGAAAGAUAGGAGUUCAGUCAGGGUACUGAGUUUGAUCUCGGGUGGCCUUGGCCCGCAGUGGCUUGAAGCAGGGUUUCGGUUCCUGGCCAAAGAUUGGGGUCGGGUCUCGGCAGUGAGAGCACCGAAUCCUAGCCACUAGACCAGUGGUCAGUGACA